AUGAGGCCUUCAGCUUCAGCUUGCACUGGGCCCUUAAGCCUGGUUUGUUUCCAUGGAAAAGAGCAUGACAAAAGAUUGAGUGUCGACAUGUCCCUGGCAGCAGGCAUGAACUUGGGGCACUCUGGCCAGUUGUCCACGUCAGGAGGAGACCAGGGACAAAAGGAUCCCAGUUGCGGCCCCUGGGUCUGGUCCAUUGGCAGAGAUUCCUGGGAGUCAACCUGCCAUCAAGUCAACUGUUUUGCCUCAGAUGUUUCAGCCCAGGUUCAACUUUGGAAAUUCAGAUUCUUAUGUCUUCAGGUCCUGAGCCUCCAUUUGACUUUCCGUCUCUUCCACUGAGGAUUGUAGAGUUAAGUCAGGAAAGAAAAUGGCUGUGCACAGAGGGAGAAUUGAUCACUGUCUGUUCUUCAAAGACACUUCUGUGGCAGUGGUUGGGGCUGUUAGUGCUCACUGCCCUGACAGAGACCUGCUUCAACAGGGUACGAAG
Molecule: long non-coding RNA, 484 nt
Filed under: Capra hircus (goat)
Lineage: Eukaryota; Metazoa; Chordata; Mammalia; Artiodactyla; Bovidae
Description: lncRNA (ENSCHIG00000004153.1)
Source: RNAcentral